This 301-nucleotide ribosomal RNA is filed under the name uncultured bacterium. RNAcentral's name for it is "partial 16S ribosomal RNA". It matches the Rfam family "Bacterial small subunit ribosomal RNA", at positions 509 to 809 of the family's 1533-position model. The record is from RNAcentral.
CAGUCGCCACGGUAAUACGGAGGGUGCAAGCGUUAAUCGGAAUUACUGGGCGUAAAGCGCACGCAGGCGGUCUGUCAAGUCAGAUGUGAAAUCCCCGGGCUUAACCUGGGAACUGCAUUUGAAACUGGCAGGCUAGAGUCUUGUAGAGGGGGGUAGAAUUCCAGGUGUAGCGGUGAAAUGCGUAGAGAUCUGGAGGAAUACCGGUGGCGAAGGCGGCCCCCUGGACAAAGACUGACGCUCAGGUGCGAAAGCGUGGGGAGCAAACAGGAUUAGAUACCCGCGUAGUUCCUGUCUUUUAUAA